Molecule: ribosomal RNA, 254 nt
Filed under: uncultured bacterium
Lineage: Bacteria
Description: partial 16S ribosomal RNA
Rfam family: Bacterial small subunit ribosomal RNA
Source: RNAcentral
UACGUAGGGGCCUAGCGUUGUCCGGAUUUAUUGGGCGUAAAGAGCUCGUAGGUGGUUCGGUAAGUCAGGUGUGAAACCUCCAGGCUCAACCUGGAGACGCCACUUGAUACUGCUGUGACUGGAGUCCGGUAGGGGAGCGUGGAAUUCCUGGUGUAGCGGUGAAAUGCGCAGAUAUCAGGAGGAACACCAGCGGCGAAGGCGGCGCUCUGGGCCGGUACUGACACUGAGGAGCGAAAGCGUGGGGAGCAAACAGG